Molecule: ribosomal RNA, 510 nt
Filed under: uncultured bacterium
Lineage: Bacteria
Description: partial 16S ribosomal RNA
Rfam family: Bacterial small subunit ribosomal RNA
Source: RNAcentral
GACGAACGCUGGCGGCGUGCUUAACACAUGCAAGUCGAACGAAGAGCGAUGGAAGCUUGCUUCUAUCAAUCUUAGUGGCGAACGGGUGAGUAACGCGUAAUCAACCUGCCCUUCAGAGGGGGACAACAGUUGGAAACGACUGCUAAUACCGCAUACGAUCUAAUCUCGGCAUCGAGGAUAGAUGAAAGGUGGCCUCUACAUGUAAGCUAUCACUGAAGGAGGGGAUUGCGUCUGAUUAGCUAGUUGGAGGGGUAACGGCCCACCAAGGCGAUGAUCAGUAGCCGGGCUGAGAAGAGGAACGGCCACAUUGGGACUGAGACACGGCCCAGACUCCUACGGGAGGCAGCAGUGGGGAAUCUUCCGCAAUGGACGAAAGUCUGACGGAGCAACGCCGCGGGAGUGAUGACGGCCUUCGGGUUGUAAAGCUCUGUUAAUCGGGACGAAAGGCCUUCUUGCGAAUAGGGAGAAGGAUUGACGGUACCGGAAUAGAAAGCCACGGCUAACUACGUG